Molecule: ribosomal RNA, 229 nt
Filed under: uncultured bacterium
Lineage: Bacteria
Description: partial 16S ribosomal RNA
Rfam family: Bacterial small subunit ribosomal RNA
Source: RNAcentral
GAUCCUGGCUCAGGAUGAACGCUAGCUACAGGCUUAACACAUGCAAGUCGAGGGGCAGCAUGGUCUUAGCUUGCUAAGGCUGAUGGCGACCGGCGCACGGGUGAGUAACACGUAUCCAACCUGCCGUCUACUCUUGGCCAGCCUUCUGAAAGGAAGAUUAAUCCAGGAUGGGAUCAUGAGUUCACAUGUCCGCAUGUAAUUAAGGUUAUUUCCGGUAGACGAGUGGGAU